This 74-nucleotide transfer RNA is filed under the name Bacillus amyloliquefaciens. RNAcentral's name for it is "tRNA-Cys". It matches the Rfam family "tRNA". From Rfam's summary of the family: Transfer RNA (tRNA) molecules are approximately 80 nucleotides in length. Their secondary structure includes four short double-helical elements and three loops (D, anti-codon, and T loops). Lineage: Bacteria; Bacillati; Bacillota; Bacilli; Caryophanales; Bacillaceae. The record is from RNAcentral. RNAcentral also lists the same sequence under 2 other names.
GGCGGUGUAGCCAAGCGGUAAGGCACCGGACUGCAAAUCCAUGAUCGCCGGUUCGAAUCCGGUCGCCGCCUCCA